GUGGGGAGCUCUCACUUAUACUCAGACCACUACUCGCCCUCUGGAAGGCACAGGCUCGGCCCCUCGCCGGAACCGGCGGCUAGUUCCCAGCAGGCUGAGGCCGUCCGCAAGAGGCUCCGGCGGCGGAGGGAGGGAGGGGCGCAUGCAGAGGGCAAUUGUGGAACAGCACCGCUUAAGGAUGUGUUGCAAGGGUCUCGGAUUAUAGGGGGCACCGAAGCACAAGCUGGCGCAUGGCCGUGGGUGGUGAGCCUGCAGAUUAAAUAUGGCCGUGUUCUUGUUCAUGUAUGUGGGGGAACCCUAGUGAGAGAGAGGUGGGUCCUCACAGCUGCCCACUGCACUAAAGACGCUAGCGAUCCUUUAAUGUGGACAGCUGUGAUUGGAACUAAUAAUAUACAUGGACGCUAUCCUCAUACCAAGAAGAUAAAAAUUAAAGCAAUCAUUAUUCAUCCAAACUUCAUUUUGGAAUCUUAUGUAAAUGAUAUUGCACUUUUUCACUUAAAAAAAGCAGUGAGGUAUAAUGACUAUAUUCAGCCUAUUUGCCUACCUUUUGAUGUUUUCCAAAUCCUGGACGGAAACACAAAGUGUUUUAUAAGUGGCUGGGG
RNAcentral lists this long non-coding RNA (602 nucleotides) under Homo sapiens (human). Its description in RNAcentral is "HSALNT0188941". The record is from RNAcentral. Lineage: Eukaryota; Metazoa; Chordata; Mammalia; Primates; Hominidae.